GGAAAGGUGAAAAGAACCCCGAACAGGGGAGUGAAAUAGAACCUGAAACCAUACGCUUACAACCGGUCGGAGCAGCUUCGUGCUGUGACGGCGUGCCUAUUGAAUAAUGAGCCUACGAGUUACUAAUCACUAGCGAGGUUAAGUGCAAGGAUGCACGGAGCCGAAGCGAAAGCGAGUCUGAACAGGGCGUUUAGUUAGUGGUUGUAGACGCGAAACCUUGCGAUCUACCCUUGAGCAGGUUGAAGGUUGGGUAAAACCAACUGGAGGACCGAACGAAUAAGCGUUGAAAAGCUUCUCGAUGACUUGAGGGUAGGGGUGAAAGGCUAAUCAAGCUGGGAAAUAGCUCGUACUCCCCGAAAUGCCUUUUGGGGCAGCGUUGUAAUAAAGAGUCUACUGGAGGUAGAGCUACUGAUUGGAUGCGGGGGCUUCACCGCCUACCAAAUCCUGACAAACUCCGAAUGCCAGUAGUAUGAUUUACAGCAGUGAGUGACUGGGUGCUAAUGUCCAGUCGCAAAAGAGGAACAACUCAGACCAGCAACUAAGGUCCCGAAGAAUAUGCUAAGUUGAUCUAACGAUGUUUUGUUGCAGAGACAGCUAGGAUGUUAGCUUGGAAGCAGCUAUUCAUUCAAAGAGUGCGUAACAGCUCACUAGUCGAGCGACAGAGCGUGGAUAAUAAACGGGCAUCAAGCAUAUCACCGAAGUUCUGGGCGCGAGAGCGCGGUAGGGGAGCAUUCCAUUCAGCGUCGAAGCAGUUUCGUGAGGAAUUGUGGAGCGUAUGGAAAAGCAAAUGUAGGCAUGAGUAACGAUAAUGCGGGAGAGUAACCCGCACACCGCAAGACCAAGGUUUCCUGAUCAACGCUAAUCGGAUCAGGGUUAGUCGGGUCCUAAGGGUAAGCCGAACGGCGAUCUCGAUGGAUAAUCGGUUAAUAUUCCGAUACUAACAUAUACCUCGAUGGAGAGACGAAGGAACGUAAGUGCCGCCACCUGACGGAAUAGGUGGUUAAAGGGCGUAGGUAUAGGGGCAGAUUAAGAGUUAGUCCUUGCUGAAACCUGACAGUACAGAGAGCCUACGGGCAAUUUGAUAGAGCACCCAAGUCGACUUCCGAGAAAAUCUUCUAAGUUAUAGUAUAUGUUACCCGUACCGUAAACCGACACAGGUGGUCGAGGAGAGUAUCCUAAGGUGCUCGAGUGAAUCACGGUUAAGGAACUAGGCAAAUUAACCCCGUAACUUCGGGAAAAGGGGUCCCUAUGAAAGUAGGGCGCAGCGAAGAGGUCCAGGCGACUGUUUAUCAAAAACACAGGGCUCUGCAAAUUCGAAAGAAGACGUAUAGGGCCUGACACCUGCCCGGUGCUGGAAGGUUAAGAGGGGAUGUCAUCGCAAGAGAAGCAUUGAAUCGAAGCCCCAGUAAACGGCGGCCGUAACUAUAACGGUCCUAAGGUAGCGAAAUUCCUUGUCGGGUAAGUUCCGACCUGCACGAAUGGUGUAACGAUCUGGACACUGUCUCAACCGUGAGCUCGGUGAAAUUGUAGUCCCGGUGAUGAUGCCGGGUACCCGCAACGGGACGAAAAGACCCCGUGAACCUUUACUAUAGCUUAACGCUGAAUUUGGGUACACAAUGUGUAGGAUAGGCCGGAGGCUUUGAAGCGGGCACGCCAGUGUUCGUGGAGCCGACGUUGAAAUACGGCCCUUUGUGUAUUUGAGUUCUAACCCUGCGAAGGGGACACCGUUUGGUGGGUAGUUUGACUGGGGUGGUCGCCUCCAAAAGCGUAACGGAGGCUUCCCAAGGUACCCUCAGCACGAAUGGUAACCGUGCGCGGAGUGCAAUAGCAUAAGGGUGCUUGACUGUGAGACAUACAAGUCGACCAGGUACGAAAGUAGGGUAUAGUGAUCCGGUGGUUCUGCGUGGACUGGCCAUCGCUCAAAGGAUAAAAGGUACUCCGGGGAUAACAGGCUGAUCGCCGCCAAGAGCUCAUAUCGACGCGGCGGUUUGGCACCUCGAUGUCGGCUCGUCACAUCCUGGGGCUGGAGAAGGUCCCA
Molecule: ribosomal RNA, 2038 nt
Filed under: human gut metagenome
Description: bacterial LSU rRNA
Rfam family: Bacterial large subunit ribosomal RNA
Source: RNAcentral